GACGAACGCUGGCGGCGUGCCUAAUACAUGCAAGUCGAGCGAAGUUUUUCUGGUGCUUGCACUAGAAAAACUUAGCGGCGAACGGGUGAGUAACACGUAAAGAACCUGCCUCAUAGACUGGGACAACUAUUGGAAACGAUAGCUAAUACCUGAUAACAGUAUUUCUCGCAUGAGAGAUAUUUAAAAGUUGGUUAUGCUAACACUAUGAGAUGGCUUUGCGGUGCAUUAGCUAGUUGGUGGGGUAAAGGCCCACCAAGGCGACGAUGCAUAGCCGACCUGAGAGGGUGAUCGGCCACACUGGGACUGAGACACGGCCCAGACUCCUACGGGAGGCAGCAGUAGGGAAUCUUCCGCAAUGGGCGAAAGCCUGACGGAGCAACGCCGCGUGAGUGAAGAAGGAUUUCGGUUCGUAAAGCUCUGUUGUUAGGGAAGAAUGGAUAUGUAGUAACUAUACAUGUAAGAGACGGUACCUAACCAGAAAGCCACGGCUAACUACGUG
RNAcentral lists this ribosomal RNA (499 nucleotides) under uncultured bacterium. RNAcentral describes it as "partial 16S ribosomal RNA". It matches the Rfam family "Bacterial small subunit ribosomal RNA", at positions 28 to 507 of the family's 1533-position model. The record is from RNAcentral.